AUUGUUCACCCCCUACAUUUACAUUCGCAUGCUUGUACGAUCGAUAUACAUUUUGUUUUGUCACGAUCUCUGUUGGACAAUUAUACAACUAUAACUCCUGUCUUGUAAUGGUAGAAAGACUUGAAACUGUGUAUUAGACGUCUGUCUCCUUUUUUUAUCUCCCUCCCUCAAGCUGAUCUGCCUUGCAGUUUUGUUGGGUUCAAGACUUCUGAUGUUUACUUGCAUGAUCAAAAAAAAAAAAAAAAAAAAGACUUGCGACUUUUGAGGUUAAAAGGAUUCAUAAACCACACGGGUGCUUUAUCCUAGUUUAGCCGUUGUUUUGGUAAUGGAGGCAAGACAUGAAAGCUUGUGGUUACUUUUAUUUGUUUUUCUUUUGCUGUGUGAAAUUGUCCUUUGUUGCGUGAACGCUAAGAAAUUGGUCUCUUAGUGCAGCUGCAAUUCUACCCAAUCAAAGGAGAGUUGUACAAUGAUGUGCAUAAAGGAUUUGAACGAAGUGUUGUCAAGCACACCAAGAAUUGUGGCUAACGAUUGUAUUUAUAUUGAUGAGUAACUUAACAAGUACAAUUGUAUUAGGAGUGUGAGACUCUACAUAUAGAAAAGAUAAGACUAGUAAACAGAAACCUAUCUACUUGUACGUCUUGGAGGAAGAGAAGAUAAUUACAAUGUGUCCACAUGACCAUCUUAGGGUAGUGGAAAUUGUAGGGUAUCGUGUUUCCAAAAAGGCUAUUCAACAUGCAUCUCAUGUUCUUGACCGAGCAUGCUGCUGCAUUGAAGAAAGUUGGCAUUGAUCCCGCUUGCCGCUGGCGCAGUGGCGCCAUCAUCGCAUUGGAGCGUACAAGAGUCUUUUAGAGGUCAAGGAG
This is a long non-coding RNA of Rosa chinensis, 860 nucleotides long. RefSeq lists it as uncharacterized. NCBI's taxonomy places the organism in Eukaryota, Viridiplantae, Streptophyta, Magnoliopsida, Rosales, Rosaceae. The record is from RefSeq and is a predicted model, not a curated record. The transcript has 2 exons.